GGGGGUGAAAUGGUUUCGACGGGAUUGGUGAGGGAUUGUCGGCGUGCCGAGGGACUCCGGAUUUCUCGAAAAACAUCCGGUACACCAUAUAAAUGGCGAAUACAAUUAUGCCAUGGCUGCCUAACUAAUAAUUAGGUAACCCGUUCCACCUGCCUGCCGCCUUUCCGGGCGGGCUGGAGCGACGGUCAGGAAGGCUCGGUUGACCGAACGCCUUUACGGGAAACUUAAAAAAUAAAGGCUGGCGCCGGUUGUGGCCUGCCGCUCGGCAGCAAUCGGAGCGAGAAUAAAAGAGUCGGCUACGCACGUAGAUGAUGAUCUGGCACCCUUUUCGGACGGGGGUUCGACUCCCCCCACCUCCAUUA
Molecule: transfer-messenger RNA, 362 nt
Filed under: bacterium
Lineage: Bacteria
Also listed under: 1 other name
Description: PGXB01 sp002838945 Standard tmRNA
Rfam family: transfer-messenger RNA
About the family: Bacterial tmRNA, also known as 10Sa RNA or SsrA, is named for its dual tRNA and mRNA-like properties. Its role is to liberate the mRNA from a stalled ribosome.
Source: RNAcentral